CCUACGGGAGGCAGCAGUGAGGAAUAUUGGUCAAUGGACGAGAGUCUGAACCAGCCAAGUCGCGUGAAGGAUGACGGCCCUAUGGGUUGUAAACUUCUUUUAUAUGGGAAUAAAUUGUUAAACGUGUGGGGUUUUGUAUGUACCGUAUGAAUAAGGAUCGGCUAACUCCGUGCCAGCAGCCGCGGUAAUACGGAGGAUUCGAGCGUUAUCCGGAUUUAUUGGGUUUAAAGGGAGCGUAGGUGGAUCGUUAAGUUAGGUGUGAAAGUUUGGGGCUCAACCGUAAAACUGCAGUUGAUACUGGCAGGCUAGAGUACAGUAGAGGUAGGCGGAAUGCGUGGUGUAGCGGUGAAAUGCAUAGAUAUCACGAAGAACACCGAUUGCGAAGGCAGCUCACCGGACUGCAACUGACGCUGAGGCACGAAAGUGUGGGGAUCAAACAGGAUUAGAUACCCCAGUAGUC
RNAcentral lists this ribosomal RNA (460 nucleotides) under uncultured bacterium. RNAcentral describes it as "partial 16S ribosomal RNA". It matches the Rfam family "Bacterial small subunit ribosomal RNA", at positions 338 to 795 of the family's 1533-position model. The record is from RNAcentral.